CACAGAAAGAGAGGCACUCAGAUGCUUAAGUCCCUGAUGCUCUUUGUAAUUCACACGAGGCAAGAUUUAAUCAAGGUUAUCCUCAAAGUUAAAGGAAUAAAAUGUGCAAUCUAAAGGGGAACCUGUGCACCAAAUGUCAUGACUAAGUGAAAAAGCAUCAGGGGUAUGAUCUUCAGGUUUUAUGGUUUGCAUCCAGCUCCUUAAGCAGAACAUCGGUCACAUGGCUCUCUCCAUCGUGAAUGUCAACCUUGCGGCCUCUGAAGAUGCGCGUGAAGGACCCCUGUCCCAAGCUUUCACACUGAUGCGUGGAGAGGAUGGAGAUGUGAAUGACACACAGAGUAGAGUGACGAUGCUAUUCAUUCAUUUAGUCUGUUUUGUUAUUAACCCAGAUUUUUGUACUGCAUGUCAACACGUUUCUUUAAACGCUCGCUGCUUUCAAGCCACAUGAGGGGGAGACUGCUAAGA
Molecule: long non-coding RNA, 465 nt
Organism: Esox lucius (northern pike)
Lineage: Eukaryota; Metazoa; Chordata; Actinopteri; Esociformes; Esocidae
Exons: 3
Source: RefSeq, a predicted model, not a curated record